This is a non-coding RNA of Dermacentor andersoni, 72 nucleotides long. NCBI's taxonomy places the organism in Eukaryota, Metazoa, Arthropoda, Arachnida, Ixodida, Ixodidae. The record is from the annotation of a RefSeq genome assembly.
GCCGCGGUAGCUCAGUUGAUAGAGCAUCGCAUCCGUAAUGCGAAGACGUGGGAUCAUUCCCCACUUGCGGCA